AUUGAACGCUGGCGGCAGGCUUAGCACAUGCAAGUCGAGCGGGGUGAUGGUGCUUGCACUAUCACUUAGCGGCGGACGGGUGAGUAAUGCUUUGGAAUCUGCCUAUUAGUGGGGGACAACAUCUCGAAAGGGAUGCUAAUACCGCAUACGUCCUACGGGAGAAAGCAGGGGAUCACUUGUGACCUUGCGCUAAUAGAUGAGCCUAAGUCGGAUUAGCUAGUUGGUGGGGUAAAGGCCUACCAAGGCGACGAUCUGUAGCGGGUCUGAGAGGAUGAUCCGCCACACUGGGACUGAGACACGGCCCAGACUCCUACGGGAGGCAGCAGUGGGGAAUAUUGGACAAUGGGGGGAACCCUGAUCCAGCCAUGCCGCGUGUGUGAAGAAGGCCUUAUGGUUGUAAAGCACUUUAAGCGAGGAGGAGGCUCUUUUGGUUAAUACCCAAGAUGAGUGGACGUUACUCGCAGAAUAAGCACCGGCUAACUCUGUGCCAGCAGCCGCCGUAA
This 503-nucleotide ribosomal RNA is filed under the name uncultured bacterium. Its description in RNAcentral is "partial 16S ribosomal RNA". It matches the Rfam family "Bacterial small subunit ribosomal RNA", at positions 30 to 523 of the family's 1533-position model. The record is from RNAcentral.